This 682-nucleotide ribosomal RNA is filed under the name uncultured bacterium. Its description in RNAcentral is "bacterial SSU rRNA". It matches the Rfam family "Bacterial small subunit ribosomal RNA", at positions 74 to 746 of the family's 1533-position model. The record is from RNAcentral.
GCUUGCACCGAGCGGAUGAGUUGCGAACGGGUGAGUAACGCGUAGGUAACCUGCCUCUUAGCGGGGGAUAACUAUUGGAAACGAUAGCUAAUACCGCAUAAAAGUCGAUAUCGCAUGAUAUUGACUUGAAAGGUGCAAUUGCAUCACUAAGAGAUGGACCUGCGUUGUAUUAGCUAGUUGGUGAGGUAACGGCUCACCAAGGCGACGAUACAUAGCCGACCUGAGAGGGUGAUCGGCCACACUGGGACUGAGACACGGCCCAGACUCCUACGGGAGGCAGCAGUAGGGAAUCUUCGGCAAUGGGGGCAACCCUGACCGAGCAACGCCGCGUGAGUGAAGAAGGUUUUCGGAUCGUAAAGCUCUGUUGUAAGAGAAGAACGAGUGUGAGAGUGGAAAGUUCACACUGUGACGGUAACUUACCAGAAAGGGACGGCUAACUACGUGCCAGCAGCCGCGGUAAUACGUAGGUCCCGAGCGUUAUCCGGAUUUAUUGGGCGUAAAGCGAGCGCAGGCGGUUAGAUAAGUCUGAAGUUAAAGGCUGUGGCUUAACCAUAGUACGCUUUGGAAACUGUUUAACUUGAGUGCAGAAGGGGAGAGUGGAAUUCCAUGUGUAGCGGUGAAAUGCGUAGAUAUAUGGAGGAACACCGGUGGCGAAAGCGGCUCUCUGGUCUGUAACUGACGC